RNAcentral lists this ribosomal RNA (1009 nucleotides) under uncultured bacterium. Its description in RNAcentral is "bacterial SSU rRNA". It matches the Rfam family "Bacterial small subunit ribosomal RNA", at positions 10 to 1064 of the family's 1533-position model. The record is from RNAcentral.
AGUUUGAUCCUGGCUCAGGAUGAACGCUGGCGGUAUGCUUAACACAUGCAAGUCGAACGAAAGUUUUUAACUUUAGUGGCGAACGGGUGCGUAAUACGUGAGAAUCUGCCCUUAGGAGAAGAAUAACUGCUGGAAACGGCUGCUAAAUCUUCAUAUGUCGAGAGAUGAAAUAGCUUAGGCUGCCUAAGGAUGAGCUCACGCCUGAUUAGCUAGUUGGUGAGGUAAUGGCUCACCAAGGCCACGAUCAGUAGCUGGUUUGAGAGAACGAUCAGCCACACUGGGACUGAGACACGGCCCAGACUCCUCCGGGAGGCAGCAGUGAGGAAUUUUCCGCAAUGGGCGAAAGCCUGACGGAGCAAUACCGCGUGAGGGAUGAAGGAUUUUGGUCUGUAAACCUCUUUUCUCAAGAAAGAAGUUCUGACGGUACUUGAGGAAUAAGCAUCGGCUAACUCCGUGCCAGCAGCCGCGGUAAUACGGGGGAUGCAAGCGUUAUCCGGAAUCAUUGGGCGUAAAGCGCCUGUAGGUUGUUUAAUAAGUCUGUUGUUAAAGACUAGGGCUUAACCCUAGAAAAGCAAUGGAAACUACUAGACUAGAGUAUGGCAGGGGUAGAGGGAAUUUCUAGUGUAGCGGUGAAAUGCGUAGAUAUUAGAAAGAACACCGGUGGCGAAAGCGCUCUACUGGACCGUUACUGACACUCAGAGGCGAAAGCUAGGGUAGCAAAAGGGAUUAGAUACCCCUGUAGUCCUAGCCGUAAACGAUGGAUACUACAUGUUGUGCAUUAUGUACAGUAUGGUAGCUAACGCGUUAAGUAUCCCGCCUGGGGAGUACGCUCGCAAGGGUGAAACUCAAAGGAAUUGACGGGGGCCCGCACAAGCGGUGGAGCAUGUGGUUUAAUUCGAUGCAACGCGAAGAACCUUACCAGGACUUGACAUACUACAAAUUCUUUUGAGAAAAAGAAGUGCCUUCGGGAAUGUAGAUACAGGUGGUGCAUGGCUGUCGUCAGCUCGUG